This is a long non-coding RNA of Entelurus aequoreus (snake pipefish), 740 nucleotides long. RefSeq lists it as uncharacterized. The transcript is spliced from 3 exons. The record is from RefSeq and is a predicted model, not a curated record. Lineage: Eukaryota; Metazoa; Chordata; Actinopteri; Syngnathiformes; Syngnathidae.
GUCACUUCCGCCUCCGUUUCUCUGCUAUUUUUAAUCGGUGUCUUUGACGAUAUACUAACCCAAACCAAUAUGCACCAUUAAAGUGGAAGAGUCCAUAUGAUGACCGUGUGUUCCCUGACCAGAAACCCCAACGUGGCCAAUAUCUGAAAAAAACAGUCGCAGAGUUUCAUACUCAACAGACGGGGUACAAAAAAAAAGCAAAUAGAUGUCUAGAUGGAAGUGAGAAAGACAGAUGACAAAGAGAUGAUGCUCCAUUCCCACUCUGACACCCACCUACCCCUCCUGCCGUGUCCUUCAUAUCACACUGGCAAGAAAAAUUAGAACAGUUCGGCCCACGUUAUUUUUUUCUUUACUCUUUUUCCUCCCUUUAUUUUGCCUUCCUCCACACCGUCGACUGUCUCCGUGUUUAUUAUCCGUCUCUCUCCUCAUCCUCCUCCCACUUCUCCCUGGUCAUUGCACGGGUCAGGACGGGAGUCACGACAGGCGCUGGGAUGAAGCCCCUCUCCUCCUCCUCCCCUUCUAGCUGUCAUUCAUCACAUCCCACAGUUGACAGCUACCUCUUCCCACUCGUACCUUCUCUUCAUGCAAGAUCACGAGAGCCAGGAGCCUUUUCAUUCACAACUGAAAACAGGAUAACCUUUCGUCAACAAUGCCGCCGUACGCUGUGGAAUUCGACAAUCCAGUCCUCUUAGGAAGUUAGUCCGGCCGAGCAAAACAAAACGAGAGGUCAGAGACAAAAC